This 93-nucleotide transfer RNA is filed under the name Pseudooceanicola algae. RNAcentral describes it as "tRNA-Gln". The record is from RNAcentral. Lineage: Bacteria; Pseudomonadati; Pseudomonadota; Alphaproteobacteria; Rhodobacterales; Paracoccaceae.
UCCGGCUCUGGAAGCGGCUCGGCGACUUCCUCUGGCUCUGGCUCUGGCUCGGGAUCAGGCUCGACCUCGGGUUCAGGCUCCGGGGGCGGGGGC